Molecule: ribosomal RNA, 468 nt
Filed under: uncultured bacterium
Lineage: Bacteria
Description: partial 16S ribosomal RNA
Rfam family: Bacterial small subunit ribosomal RNA
Source: RNAcentral
GACGAACGCUGGCGGCGUGCUUAACACAUGCAAGUCGAACGGACAGGCCAUGCUUUUGUGGGGCGCUCGAGUGGCGAACGGGUGAGUAACACGUGAGUAAACUGUCCCUGUCUUUGGGAUAAAUUCUGGAAACUGGGGCUAUUACCGGGUAUGAGCUCUUGAUGCACGGUGGGGGUUGGUGAGUUUCGGUGGUUGGGGAUGGUCUAGCGGCUUAUGCGCUUGUUGGUGAGGUAGUGGCAUACCAAGGCUUUGACGGGUAGCCGACCUGAGAGGGUGACCGGCCACAAGGGGACUGAGAGACGGCGCAGACGGCUACGUGAGGCAGCGGUGGAGAGUAUGGCGCAACGGGGGGGAGCCAGAUGCAGCAGCGCCGCGAGCGGGAUGACGUCCUUCGAGUGGUAAACCGAUGUCGCCGGAGAUGUGGCGUUAUUGACGGUAAUGGGUAAAGAAGCACCGGCUAACUACGUG